RNAcentral lists this long non-coding RNA (716 nucleotides) under Homo sapiens (human). RNAcentral describes it as "HSALNT0194002". Lineage: Eukaryota; Metazoa; Chordata; Mammalia; Primates; Hominidae. The record is from RNAcentral.
UUUAGCUUUUAAGAACCAAUUUUGAUGGGAGUACAGACUUCCCCCAUUUUCUUGAUGAGUUCUCUCCGUCAUGUGUAGUAAUAAUGUGAGAAUUUGCAGUUUUUAGUUGUAGCCUAUACUUUUAGGUCUUUGUGCCAAUUUGAAAGUUAUUGGGUUAGAGUAUUCAUAGACAUUUUCAUGGUACUUAAAGGGACAGGGGUUUAGUAAAAAGACACAUGGCAAGCCAGGCUUUUUCCACAGUUUGCCAGGCCCAGCUGCCUCUUGUGUACCUGAACAGAUUUUAUCAUUAACCCUUGUUUAUGUUGUUUUGUUUUAUUUCGACGAAGGCUUAUUUUAAGUCAGGCAUGGAAAACUAGACUUCAGACUGACUUCAGCUUUAAGGACAUGUUUAUCCCGUUAACAGGGAGUCUGGGAUAGACAAUCUCCAGGCUUUGUUUUUCUCUGAAUUUCUUAGCUCUGCUUGUGAUGGCUUCAUCAUCAGGCCACAGACCAUUAACACAUUCUAGAACUUUAACAUUGGUUAAAUAAUACCAUCUAAUAGCCUGUCUUCAGCAUUUCCCCAGUUGCCUCCAAAUGCCCUUCAUAGCUGUUCUCUGCCUCUGUUUGUUUUUAAUCCAAGAUACACUCAAGGCUCAUAUAUUAGGUUGACAUAGCUCUUUAGUAUCCUUUAAUUUAAAGCAGUCUCCAGGUUUAGAGAAAGAUGAAUGAGCUUUCAC